This 2188-nucleotide ribosomal RNA is filed under the name Bacillus pseudomycoides. RNAcentral describes it as "bacterial LSU rRNA". It matches the Rfam family "Bacterial large subunit ribosomal RNA", at positions 237 to 2428 of the family's 2925-position model. Lineage: Bacteria; Bacillati; Bacillota; Bacilli; Caryophanales; Bacillaceae. The record is from RNAcentral.
UCCUGAGUAGCGGCGAGCGAAACGGAAUCUAGCCCAAACCAAGAGGCUUGCCUCUUGGGGUUGUAGGACAUUCUAUACGGAGUUACAAAGGAACGAGGUAGACGAAGCAGCCUGGAAAGGCUCGUCAUAGAGGGUAACAACCCCGUAGUCGAAACUUCGUUCUCUCUUGAAUGUAUCCUGAGUACGGCGGAACACGUGAAAUUCCGUCGGAAUCUGGGAGGACCAUCUCCCAAGGCUAAAUACUACCUAGUGAUCGAUAGUGAACCAGUACCGUGAGGGAAAGGUGAAAAGCACCCCGGAAGGGGAGUGAAAGAGAUCCUGAAACCGUGUGCCUACAAAUAGUCAGAGCCCGUUAAUGGGUGAUGGCGUGCCUUUUGUAGAAUGAACCGGCGAGUUACGAUCCCGUGCGAGGUUAAGCUGAAGAGGCGGAGCCGUAGCGAAAGCGAGUCUGAAUAGGGCGUUUAGUACGUGGUCGUAGACCCGAAACCAGGUGAUCUACCCAUGUCCAGGGUGAAGUUCAGGUAACACUGAAUGGAGGCCCGAACCCACGCACGUUGAAAAGUGCGGGGAUGAGGUGUGGGUAGCGGAGAAAUUCCAAUCGAACCUGGAGAUAGCUGGUUCUCCCCGAAAUAGCUUUAGGGCUAGCCUUAAGUGUAAGAGUCUUGGAGGUAGAGCACUGAUUGAACUAGGGGUCCUCAUCGGAUUACCGAAUUCAGUCAAACUCCGAAUGCCAAUGACUUAUCCUUAGGAGUCAGACUGCGAGUGAUAAGAUCCGUAGUCAAGAGGGAAACAGCCCAGAUCGCCAGCUAAGGUCCCAAAGUGUGUAUUAAGUGGAAAAGGAUGUGGAGUUGCUUAGACAACUAGGAUGUUGGCUUAGAAGCAGCCACCAUUUAAAGAGUGCGUAAUAGCUCACUAGUCGAGUGACUCUGCGCCGAAAAUGUACCGGGGCUAAAUACACCACCGAAGCUGCGAAUUGAUACCUAUGGUAUCAGUGGUAGGGGAGCGUUCUAAGGGCAGUGAAGUCAGACCGUAAGGACUGGUGGAGCGCUUAGAAGUGAGAAUGCCGGUAUGAGUAGCGAAAGACGGGUGAGAAUCCCGUCCACCGAAUGCCUAAGGUUUCCUGAGGAAGGCUCGUCCGCUCAGGGUUAGUCAGGACCUAAGCCGAGGCCGACAGGCGUAGGCGAUGGACAACAGGUUGAUAUUCCUGUACCACCUCUUUAUCGUUUGAGCAAUGGAGGGACGCAGAAGGAUAGAAGAAGCGUGCGAUUGGUUGUGCACGUCCAAGCAGUUAGGCUGAUAAGUAGGCAAAUCCGCUUAUCGUGAAGGCUGAGCUGUGAUGGGGAAGCUCCUUAUGGAGCGAAGUCUUUGAUUCCCCGCUGCCAAGAAAAGCUUCUAGCGAGAUAAAAGGUGCCUGUACCGCAAACCGACACAGGUAGGCGAGGAGAGAAUCCUAAGGUGUGCGAGAGAACUCUGGUUAAGGAACUCGGCAAAAUGACCCCGUAACUUCGGGAGAAGGGGUGCUUUCUUAACGGAAAGCCGCAGUGAAUAGGCCCAAGCGACUGUUUAGCAAAAACACAGGUCUCUGCGAAGCCGUAAGGCGAAGUAUAGGGGCUGACACCUGCCCGGUGCUGGAAGGUUAAGGAGAGGGGUUAGCGUAAGCGAAGCUCUGAACUGAAGCCCCAGUAAACGGCGGCCGUAACUAUAACGGUCCUAAGGUAGCGAAAUUCCUUGUCGGGUAAGUUCCGACCCGCACGAAAGGUGUAACGAUUUGGGCACUGUCUCAACCAGAGACUCGGUGAAAUUAUAGUACCUGUGAAGAUGCAGGUUACCCGCGACAGGACGGAAAGACCCCGUGGAGCUUUACUGUAGCCUGAUAUUGAAUUUUGGUACAGUUUGUACAGGAUAGGCGGGAGCCUUUGAAGCCGGAGCGCUAGCUUCGGUGGAGGCGCUGGUGGGAUACCGCCCUGACUGUAUUGAAAUUCUAACCUACGGGUCUUAUCGACCCGGGAGACAGUGUCAGGUGGGCAGUUUGACUGGGGCGGUCGCCUCCUAAAGUGUAACGGAGGCGCCCAAAGGUUCCCUCAGAAUGGUUGGAAAUCAUUCGUAGAGUGCAAAGGCAUAAGGGAGCUUGACUGCGAGACCUACAAGUCGAGCAGGGACGAAAGUCGGGCUUAGUGAUCCGGUGGUU